RNAcentral lists this ribosomal RNA (513 nucleotides) under uncultured bacterium. Its description in RNAcentral is "partial 16S ribosomal RNA". It matches the Rfam family "Bacterial small subunit ribosomal RNA", at positions 28 to 523 of the family's 1533-position model. The record is from RNAcentral.
GACGAACGCUGGCGGCGUGCCUAAUACAUGCAAGUCGAGCGAACAGACGAAGAGCUUGCUCCUCUGACGUUAGCGGUGGACGGGUGAGUAACACGUGGAUAACCUACCUAUAAGACUGGGAUAACUUCGGGAAACCGGGGCUAAUACCGGAUAACAUGUUGAACCGCAUGGUUCAACAGUGAAAGACGGUCUUGCUGUCACUUAUAGAUGGAUCCGCGCCGCAUUAGCUAGUUGGUAAGGUAACGGCUUACCAAGGCAACGAUGCGUAGCCGACCUGAGAGGGUGAUCGGCCACACUGGAACUGAGAUACGGUCCAGACUCCUACGGGAGGCAGCAGUAGGGAAUCUUCCGCAAUGGGCGAAAGCCUGACGGAGCAACGCCGCGUGAGUGAAGAAGGUCUUCGGAUCGUAAAACUCUGUUAUUAGGGAAGAACAAAUGUGUAAGUAGCUAUGCACGUCUUGACGGUACCUAAUCAGAAAGCCACGGCUUACUACGUGCCAGCCGCCGCCGUAA